GAGUUUGAUCAUGGCUCAGAUUGAACGCUGGCGGCAUGCCUUACACAUGCAAGUCGAACGGCAGCACGGGAGCUUGCUCCUGGUGGCGAGUGGCGAACGGGUGAGUAAUGCAUCGGAACGUAUCCUGGAGUGGGGGAUAACGUAGCGAAAGUUACGCUAAUACCGCAUAUUCUGUGAGCAGGAAAGCGGGGGACCUUCGGGCCUCGCGCUCUUGGAGCGGCCGAUGUCGGAUUAGCUAGUUGGUGAGGUAAAGGCUCACCAAGGCGACGAUCCGUAGCAGGUCUGAGAGGAUGAUCUGCCACACUGGAACUGAGACACGGUCCAGACUCCUACGGGAGGCAGCAGUGGGGAAUUUUUGGACAAUGGGGGCAACCCUGAUCCAGCCAUGCCGCGUGAGUGAAGAAGGCC
Molecule: ribosomal RNA, 408 nt
Filed under: bacterium enrichment culture clone ALO1_GLFRUDD03GDTT7
Lineage: Bacteria
Description: bacterial SSU rRNA
Rfam family: Bacterial small subunit ribosomal RNA
Source: RNAcentral